GCAGCAUCUCUACAGGGGAUGAGGUGGGGGAAGGGUGUCAGAUGCUAGACACUGGCCAGCCCUCACCUGCACAGCUGCUCUGCAUUGUUUAGAUUGAGAUGCUGCCUCACAGUCCUGGUCACCAGGCCCCCUAACAUGAGAUAAAUGUGAAAGGACAGCAGACACAAGCCCCUGCCCAACACAAAGGUCCCCACUGUCCGUGGAGAAGAGAAAACGGAGGUUCCCAGACAGGGGAGUCCCCCUGCUUCUCAACAAUGUGGUGGUCUACUCCCCACCCACACAGAGGGGAACCAUCUCCAGUGAGAACGUCUCCCGGGUCCAGCCCACCUCUUCCCUUAAGGGCAGACCUGGGAGCUGCACUCACUCCAGCUGUCUGGCAUGACUUUCAAUGCCAAGGGCACCAGGUCAUCAAAGGAGGCAUCCAGGAUCACGGCACUAAUGUCCGGGUAGGACAUGGCGGCCCACGUAGCUGGUACCAGGAAAGGAAAGAAAGGGUGAGGACCAAGGGGCUCCUGCCCACCCCCACCCCUACCCUCAUCGCCCUGACCCUACAGGCUCACCCCAUCCUGCCUACUAAGUUAGCCCCAGGUCUUGCCUUAACCCCUCGCUUCACUCGGCCAGGGCACUGUCCAAAGAGAACAACGAAGCGCACUGAAGACAAUACCAGAGGCAACAUUUACUCCUUGAUCUCCCCAGGUUCUACUUUUAAUCAUCGGGCACAAGGGUGGAAGGAAAUGUGAAGUGUACUCAAAUAUGAUAGCUUCUUCCAGACCCACUCAGAGAGCCCACCUAUUCUCUCCUCCACCCGACUCCCGGGGAGACACAGAGAUGGCUUGAGUGUGCCUACAGUAGCGGGGUAGGAAGGAGGUGGGUUACCAGUGAAGCCGCCGAUGGACCAGGCAUAGAGGAUGAUAUCCUGGGGCUGAAAGCCCAGGCGGUGGAUGGCAAACUGGACCACCACAUCCAUGGCGUUGGCCUCAUUCUGUGGGAACGGCACCCCCUGCAGGAAGAAGGGCAAAGGGUGAGCACAAAAGACCACCUGCCCACCACCCCACCCUCCCAGCAUGGACCCUUCCUGCAGCUACACUGCAACAGACAGCGAAGAUGGAACUGCAGCUCUGAACAGACAAUUCAGAGAGCUAUCAUCUUACUUAAUGGAAUAGACUCCUGUCAGUGGCAUUAAAAAUAAAUAAAUAAUAGGGCCAAGAGAGGGGCUGUUCUCUCUAGAAACCAGUCAUUUAUAACAAGAUCCACUAUCUCCCCUCCUGCCAAACCCCCAGUGUAAGAGGAGGAGGCUUGCAGCUCCCCACCCUUGGCACCCAGGUCACAGGUGAGUGGGAGGUCCUACAGAAAUACAGACCCCUUUCCGUGACUCCAGUGACUGACCACAGGGAGACAGGCUAUAAUUCAGGAAAAAGAAUUCAGAGAAGGCCUCACCGUGCUUCCAGCAAAGCCUGGAUGAUUCCAGCCCAGGACUGAAUAUCCAGCUGUAACACAGAGGGAGAAAGGGCUGGGACCUCAUGGCCUAUGACCUCUGGCCACUCUCUGCUCCUAGCUCUGGGGGAAGGAGCAGAAGGACACUGGAACUCUUAACACCCAACUCAGAAGCAAAUAACUCCAAGCCUUCCCAGAAUGGGAAGAUGCCAAAAAGGUUCUGAUGCAGCAGAAGGGACAGAGAUGUGACUAUUGAGGCGUGGGAACAGAACCAAGAGCAUAAUAGGGUAAGGGACACAGCCCAAGGGGAGGGAUGUAAGGUUAGCAAAGCAAAUGGGUAAUAGGCUUUUCCCGAAGGCAAGGGUCUCAAACCUCACUCAGAGAAGGUGGUUAGGCCCUGGGAGGUCCUAUCCAUGUGGGGAGGUGGGGACAUUCCAUCCCAAGGGGCGGAGAUAAGAGGGCUGAGCCAUGGGCCUACCUUCCAGAGGUGUGGAGACGCAGCCCACCUCAUAGAAGCCUGCGUUCCCCUCACAGCAGAUCACCUAGAAAGGGAGCAGGAAGAAGCCCAGUUGGGACUGAAAAUCCCCCUACUGGCAGGGAGGGCAGCCUCUGGGGGCCCUGCAUGUGGACUUAAUGAACCAAUAUACGUACCAAUUUUUCAAACAUCUUUUGUUUGGUUUUUGGUUUUUGGCUGUGCCAUGUGUUUUGCGGGAUCUUCCUUCCCCAACCAGAGACUGAACCCAUGUCCUCAGCAGAGAAAGUGUGGAGUCCUAACCACUGGACUGGCAGAGAACUCCCUUCUCUAACUAUUUUUACUGUAACCUUUUAAAGAUACUUUAUAUCGUGGUCUAGGACACACAUAUGCAUAUAUUAAUCUUGAAAGUUUUAUGAGAUAACACUUUGUAUAUACAACAAGUAAAAGCAAAGUAAUUAACAAUCAUGAUUCUGCUAAUGUAUUUAUUAAAAGUCCCCAAAUAAAUAAUACUGUUUAUUA
Molecule: long non-coding RNA, 2428 nt
Organism: Bubalus bubalis (water buffalo)
Lineage: Eukaryota; Metazoa; Chordata; Mammalia; Artiodactyla; Bovidae
Exons: 2
Source: RefSeq, a predicted model, not a curated record